GCCGGGUGUGAUGGCUCACGACCGUAAUCCAGUGGCUCGGGAGGCUGAGGCAGGAGGAUCGAGAGUUCAAAGCCAGCCUCAGCAACAGCGAGGUGCUAAGCAACUCAGUGAGACCCUGUCUCUA
RNAcentral lists this small RNA (124 nucleotides) under Marmota monax (woodchuck). The record is from RNAcentral. Lineage: Eukaryota; Metazoa; Chordata; Mammalia; Rodentia; Sciuridae.